AUUGAACGCUAGCGGGGUGCCUUACACAUGCAAGUCGAACGGAGUGGCGAACGGGUGAGUAAUGAACCGGAACGUGCCCAGUAGCGGGGGAUAACUAAGCGAAGGCGAAGCUAAUACCGCAUACUAUUGGAGCGGCCGAUAACGGAUUAGCGAGUUGGUGAGGUAACGGCUCACCAAGGCGACGAUCCAAAGCAGGUUUGAGAGGACGACCAGCCACACUGGGACUGAGACACGGCCCAGACUCCUACGGGAGGCAGCAGUGGGGAAUCUUCGACAAUGGGCGAAAGCCUGAUCGAGCCAUCCCGCGUGUGCGAUGAAGGCCUUCGGGUUGUAAAGCACUUUUGGCAGGAAAGCGGUACCUGCACAGUAAGCACCGGCUAACUACGUGCCAGCAGCCGCGGUAAUUC
This 407-nucleotide ribosomal RNA is filed under the name uncultured bacterium. Its description in RNAcentral is "partial 16S ribosomal RNA". It matches the Rfam family "Bacterial small subunit ribosomal RNA", at positions 30 to 526 of the family's 1533-position model. The record is from RNAcentral.